Molecule: ribosomal RNA, 307 nt
Filed under: uncultured bacterium
Lineage: Bacteria
Description: bacterial SSU rRNA
Rfam family: Bacterial small subunit ribosomal RNA
Source: RNAcentral
GACGAACGCUGGCGGCGUGCUUAACACAUGCAAGUCGAGCGGUAAGGCCCUUUCGGGGGUACACGAGCGGCGAACGGGUGAGUAACACGUGGGUGACCUGCCCUCAGCUCUGGGAUAAGCCUGGGAAACCGGGUCUAAUACUGGAUAUGACUCCAUGACGCAUGUUGUGGGGUGGAAAGCCUUGUGCGGCUGAGGAUGGGCCCGCGGCCUAUCAGCUUGUUGGUGGGGAUGGCCUACCAAGGCGACGACGGGUAGCCGGCCUGAGAGGGCGACCGGGCCACACUGGGACUGAGACACGGCCCAGACU